Dermochelys coriacea (leatherback sea turtle) is the source of this 694-nucleotide long non-coding RNA. RefSeq lists it as uncharacterized. The record is from RefSeq and is a predicted model, not a curated record. The transcript has 3 exons. NCBI's taxonomy places the organism in Eukaryota, Metazoa, Chordata, Testudines, Dermochelyidae.
AGGGGAAGCAAUCUGCAGUUGCUCCUGUGGAGGAAAGUGGGUAGGGGGUAGUAGGUGAUUAAGCUUGGCAAGGAGAGAAGGAUCAGUCUGCAGGCAGAGAAUAGAAAGGACUGAAAGUUCACCAAUGGCCAAGACCACUGAAAUGACAAGAAGUAAUUGAGAUAUAUGGAGGGCUGGUCUCCACUACAGGAAGAUCAAUGCUGCUGCAAUCAAUGACCUGCUAAAUUGAUGGCAGAGCACUAUCCGUUGACCCCAGUACUCCACCUCUCCGAGUAGAGUAAGAGCUCUAAAGACCUAUUUUCAAACUGCCUGUGGCAUAAAGUUUCUGGUCUUAUAUCAGUGAAGUCAAUGGGAGCUUUGCCAUCUUGAUGUAUUCUUCCAAGAUUCUGACUGUACGAAGGCUUUAGAAAGACAUUAUAUAUUCUAUCUGGAAUGUGGUAAGAUCUGGUCUUUCACUAUUGUUUUAUGGAAGCACACUUAUCAUUGACAAGAUUGCCCAUUUCACAUGCCUUUUACUUAGCCAUAUCUGAAAAGUAGUGCAAUAAAAAAUGUGACUUGUUUAAUGAACUCCCAGUUUUAAAAUAGAUUCUUUGUUCCUACCAAAUGCCAUUUAAUAACUAGAAAAUAAAUCAAAAUAAUAUUUAAACACAUUAAUAUGUUAGCAAGGAGUUUAAUAAAAUGCUUUUAAAUUGUA